GGGGGUUUGAAAUGGGGAGGGGGCUCAGGGAAGGUUCCAGAAGUGGGGGGCACACCCCAAAAUUGGGGGGCUCAGAACCGGGGGGGUCCUGAAAGGGGGGGGGGGGCGAGUGUGAACUGGGGGGGUUGGGAAUUUGGGGGGGGGUCCUGGGUGGUCCCAAAUAACCCCAGACCCCUCCCCCCACCAGGGUUCACCCCCCCCUCAGCGCCGAGCUGGAGUCACUCCCUGAGGAGGAUGAAAUGAGGGCGCUGGCCAGGCUGGGAGCGCAGCUGAUGCUCUGCAGGGCCGACGACCUCGCCCUGGUGGAGGGCACAGCCCCCCCCCGAGCAGCAGCUCCAGUUCCUUCAGGACCUUUUGGACGCCGUCCCCCCCCUUGAGACCCCCCCCAAAACCAGGUCUGGACCCCCCCACACACCCCCCUGAUACCCCCAGCCCCAAAAUCCACCCAAAUACCCCAAAAUCCCCUCAAAAUCCCCCCAAAAUCCCCCCAAAUCCACCCAAAAUCCCCUCAAACCUACCAAAAUCCCCCCAACAUCCCCCCCAAAACCACCCAAAAUCCUCUCAAAUCUCCCAAAAUCCCCCCAAAAUCCCAUUUUCCCCCCAAAAAGGCCCCCCCAAACCACCCAGUUCCUGCUGAAGCUGCUGGAGACCCCCGAGGGGGGGGCGGCCCUGAGACCCCCGCCCCCCCCCCCAGUUCCUGUGGAGCUCUCCGAGACCCCCCCCAGACCCAGGAGACCCCUCCCCGAAUUGGAGGCGGAAUUGGGGGGGGUCCGGCGGGGCCUGGAGGAGCUGCAGGCCCAGCUGUCAAAUUUAGGGGGGUCCCCGGCCCCCUCCCCCCCAAAUUUGGGGGUCCUGGUGGGGACUCUGACCUCGUUGGCUGCAGAUUUUGGGGCCUCUGAGCUCCGGGGCCCCCUGGCACCCCCCCAGGACCCCCCAAAUUUGGGGGGAAGGGGGCCGGGUCCCCCCUGUGGGGAGGGGGCUGCGGAAUCUCAGCCAGGUGAGGGGGGGAAUUUUGGGAGGAAUUUGGGGAGGGGGUUUGGAUUUGGGGGAUUUUUGGAGGGAAUUUG
RNAcentral lists this long non-coding RNA (1067 nucleotides) under Taeniopygia guttata (zebra finch). RNAcentral describes it as "lncRNA (ENSTGUG00000023357.1)". Lineage: Eukaryota; Metazoa; Chordata; Aves; Passeriformes; Estrildidae. The record is from RNAcentral.